RNAcentral lists this long non-coding RNA (326 nucleotides) under Elaeis guineensis (African oil palm). RNAcentral's name for it is "long non-coding RNA (EGUI_LNC081318)". Lineage: Eukaryota; Viridiplantae; Streptophyta; Magnoliopsida; Arecales; Arecaceae. The record is from RNAcentral.
CGAUUAGGUCAACUCUUAACCUAAUCGGGUCAAACCUAACUGAAUCCAAUUCAAUUGGACUUGAUCCAAAAAUAAUUACUCAAUCAAAUUGAGUUAAUUAGAGAUCAAAUCACCAAUUAAAUCUCUCAUAAAUAUUGAGUCCAAAUCCGAUGGACAAUUAGGCAUCAGAGACAAUCGAUAUGAAACCCUGAUCAAAGAGUUCAAAUUUCAAAUUCAAAAUUUGAAAUUCAAAAUUUUGACCUCGGUACCCAAAAUGUGUGGAACUCAUGAUCAGAGAAUCUUAAUUCUCAAUCAUAGAGUUCCAGACACAUAAGACUCAUAAUCAG